AUGCAUAUCCCCUGGAGAGCUUGUAAAAAUGUAGAUUUUUGACUUAAUAAUCUUGGAUGCAGCCUGAGAGUCCACAUUUCUAACAAGUGCUUAGGUGAUGCCAAU
This 105-nucleotide microRNA precursor is filed under the name Marmota monax (woodchuck). The record is from RNAcentral. Lineage: Eukaryota; Metazoa; Chordata; Mammalia; Rodentia; Sciuridae.